Long non-coding RNA from Sinocyclocheilus rhinocerous, 162 nucleotides. RefSeq lists it as uncharacterized. The transcript is spliced from 3 exons. The record is from RefSeq and is a predicted model, not a curated record. Lineage: Eukaryota; Metazoa; Chordata; Actinopteri; Cypriniformes; Cyprinidae.
AACCACGUUAUGAAAAUUACAAUCGUAUCGACUGAAAUGUGAAGAAGGUUUUUGCACAGUGGUGGCCACUAGCGGAGUGAACUGUGAACAGCGAUAAGGUAUAGCUAAGAGUGGUCCAGACUAACCUUACGAACGAAUGACUUACAGAAGGUAUACUUAACU